RNAcentral lists this ribosomal RNA (445 nucleotides) under uncultured soil bacterium. RNAcentral describes it as "bacterial SSU rRNA". It matches the Rfam family "Bacterial small subunit ribosomal RNA", at positions 26 to 457 of the family's 1533-position model. The record is from RNAcentral.
AGAACGAACGCUGGCGGCGCGCUUAACACAUGCAAGUCGAACGAGAAGGCGUAGCAAUACGCUUGUAAAGUGGCGAACGGGUGAGGAAUACAUGGGUAACCUACCCUCGAGUGGGGGAUAACCCGCCGAAAGGCGGGCUAAUACCGCGUACGCUUCCGAUCUUGCGGGAUCGGAAGGAAAGCUGUCCCUUGGGGAUGGCGCUCAAGGAUGGGCUCAUGUCCUAUCAGCUUGUUGGUAGGGUAACGGCCUACCAAGGCAUCGACGGGUAGCUGGUCUGAGAGGACGAUCAGCCACACUGGCACUGCGACACGGGCAGACUCCAGGGAGCAGCAGUGAGGAAUCGUUGACGCAAAGUGGGACGAAAGCCUGACGCAGCGACGCCGGCGGUGGGGAUGGAAGGUCGUCGGAUUACGUUAACCCGUUCGGGUAGGUAACGGACCGGACC